UUUGUGAGUAACCUGCCCCUGACUCUGGGAUAAGCCUGGGAAACCGGGUCUAAUACCGGAUAUGACACUCCUCCGCAUGGUGUGGGUGUGGAAAGUUUUUUCGGUUGGGGAUGGACUCGCGGCCUAUCAGCUUGUUGGUGGGGUGAUGGCCUACCAAGGCGACGACGGGUAGCCGGCCUGAGAGGGCGACCGGCCACACUGGGACUGAGACACGGCCCAGACUCCUACGGGAGGCAGCAGUGGGGAAUAUUGCGCAAUGGGCGAAAGCCUGACGCAGCGACGCCGCGUGGGGGAUGACGGCCUUCGGGUUGUAAACCUCUUUCAGCAGGGACGAAGUUGACGUGUACCUGUAGAAGAAGCGCCGGCUAACUACGUGCCAGCAGCCGCGGUAAUACGUAGGGCGCGAGCGUUGUCCGGAAUUAUUGGGCGUAAAGAGCUCGUAGGUGGCUU
This 450-nucleotide ribosomal RNA is filed under the name Microbispora sp. PC1004. Its description in RNAcentral is "bacterial SSU rRNA". It matches the Rfam family "Bacterial small subunit ribosomal RNA", at positions 114 to 581 of the family's 1533-position model. Lineage: Bacteria; Bacillati; Actinomycetota; Actinomycetes; Streptosporangiales; Streptosporangiaceae. The record is from RNAcentral.